GAUGAACGCUAGCUACAGGCUUAACACAUGCAAGUCGAGGGGAAACGGCAUCGAAAGCUUGCUUUUGAUGGGCGUCGACCGGCGCACGGGUGAGUAACGCGUAUCCAACCUGCCCAUCACUUGGGAAUAACCUUGCGAAAGUAAGACUAAUGCACAAUGACAUCCCACGAAGGCAUCCGAAUGGGAUUAAAGAUUUAUCGGUGAUGGAUGGGGAUGCGUCUGAUUAGCUUGUUGGCAGGGUGACGGCCCACCAAGGCAACGAUCAGUAGGUGUUCUGAGAGGAAGGUCCCCCACAUUGGAACUGAGACACAGUCCAAACUCGUACGGGAGGCAGCAGUAAGGAAUAUUGGUCAAGGGGCGAGAGCCUGAACCAGCCAAGUAGCGUGCAGGAUGACGGCCAUAUGGGUUGUAAACUGCUUUUAUAAGGGAAUAAAGUGGGUCACGUGUGACUUUUUGCAUGUACCUUAUGAAUAAGGACCGGCUAAUUCCGUG
This 492-nucleotide ribosomal RNA is filed under the name uncultured bacterium. Its description in RNAcentral is "partial 16S ribosomal RNA". It matches the Rfam family "Bacterial small subunit ribosomal RNA", at positions 28 to 507 of the family's 1533-position model. The record is from RNAcentral.